UUAGCUAAUAAAGUAAUAAAUAAAUCAUAAUUCCUGCAUAAUUUAACAUUUAUUAGUAGGCUAGAACAUUUACGUGGUAAAUGAACAGAAAAUGUUAAAUAAAAAUGAUACAAUAAAACUGUAGUAUAACAAAUUUACAAAUAAUAGAUACAUAAUUCUGCACACGUAACAUAACUAAAAUAAACAACACAUGUAACAUAACUAAAAUAAACAACACAUGUAACAUAACUAAUAUAACAAGAGAUACAUAAUUUUACACAUGUAACAUAACUAAAAUUAACAGGAGAUGCAUAAUUCUGCAUAUUUUACAAAUUAAAAUUAACGAGAGAUACAAAAUUAUGCAUAUAUAACUGACUAAAAAUAACAAUAGAUACAUAAUUAUACACUUUUAACUGACUAAAAAUAAGAAGAGAUAAAAAGAGAUACUAGAAAAUUAAACUAAGCAUUUGAGAGAUACAAACUUAUCCUUAAUUAACAAACUCAGAUAACAUGAGAUACAAGAAAACUGCAUAGGUAAUUUUAUUUAAGAUACAAGAAAAUUGUAUUAGUAAUUUGCCUAAUAUGCACACAUAUAAUGCCCUCAUAAAAGAUUUUCUUGAUGUAACUUCAACAUUUCUUUGUUUGCACCAUGAGAAAUACGUUUUGAAGCACCAUGGACUAUUUUUUUGCCAUCAGAACCUCCUUUCUUCUUUCUCUUAAGUGCUUUCUUUAUUUUCUUCAUCGUAAUAGGAUAGUUGUUAUUUUUUGAUCGAUUUUUGCUUAACGCCUCAAAUUACGUAACUUUCAACAACAAUAAAAAUAAACUAAUUUAAGAAAAAUGAGGUUCAAAGUUUACUGUGGAUGAAUCGAUUCGCAGUAAACUUUGAACCUUAUUUUUUCAACAAGACUAACGAAAGUUUACUGUAUUUCAUCCCAACAAAUUGUUAAAUUUGUUGAGAUGAAAAAUAAAGAUGAAGAUGGAGAAAUCUUGCAUAACUUAGAAAAUGGAUAGUAGGGGAAUAAUUGCAUCAAUUACUGCAUGAUUUGCGCCGCACCUUCAAAAUUCU
RNAcentral lists this long non-coding RNA (1046 nucleotides) under Capsicum annuum. RNAcentral's name for it is "long non-coding RNA (CANN_LNC012083)". The record is from RNAcentral. Lineage: Eukaryota; Viridiplantae; Streptophyta; Magnoliopsida; Solanales; Solanaceae.